GGGGCUUACACGUCACAUAUUCAGUGAACGGCUAACAUCACAUAUAGGCCUACUCCAAUAUCUCACCUUUUUUUUUUUAUUGUGAAAUCUCCAAAAGAUUUUGGACAGAUUUGGAGUCUCACUUUUUUUUGAACCCACCAACUUUAUCUACUCCUUAAACCUUACAGAUAUCAUCUGUUUCUACGAUAAUUCAGGUGUGAGGAUGGUGGAUCAGGAAAGACAGGGGAAGGCAACAGUUUAGCAGGUCCUGGGCUCCAGGUGCUUCCAGGUUCUGGAUGGUGCUGACCCUGUUCAGACUCUGCUGAAGGAAGAGCUGAGCCGACUCCACAGAACCAGAACCGCAACGCGAGUCCACCAAGUCCAGACCGUUGCCUAAAGCCCAGUAGUAGAUCUUAGCACAACUGAGCAAAGUGCAAUAAAUACACGGGCGCUUUUUGCACAUAGCACUUCAACUCUUACAGUCUUUUUAAGAGGUUGUAUUGUUAGAUGUGUCCUUCAUGCCCUAAGAUGUCUUAAGUUAAUUUUAGCUUGAUUUUAGAAUGGUUUCUCUGUUACAUGUGUGUGUUGUGAAGCAAAGGAUUGUAGCACUAUGUGUAUUCUCUUUAUUCUAAAGGCAAAGUUGUGUAAAUGGCUGGCGUUUUGACAUAGACUGCAGUAGCAGGAUUCUGAAAAACGACAGUAUUUCAGUUCUCACUCUUGUAAUUUGUAGACGGCCCUAAGCACUCGUCUUACAGCAGCAACAACAACAGCAGAGAGCAGAAGCCAGCAGGCAAGUGUUAUUUA
This is a long non-coding RNA of Perca fluviatilis (European perch), 783 nucleotides long. RefSeq lists it as uncharacterized. Lineage: Eukaryota; Metazoa; Chordata; Actinopteri; Perciformes; Percidae. The record is from RefSeq and is a predicted model, not a curated record. The transcript is spliced from 3 exons.